Molecule: long non-coding RNA, 3599 nt
Filed under: Homo sapiens (human)
Lineage: Eukaryota; Metazoa; Chordata; Mammalia; Primates; Hominidae
Description: PCBP1 antisense RNA 1, transcript variant 21 (PCBP1-AS1)
Source: RNAcentral
GUCCCCGGCGUCCGGGCGCCCUGCAUGGAUCCCCCACCCCAGCUCCUGCUCCCCGGCGGCGGCCGGUGGGCAGAAAGACCGAAACCCACUCACGGCCGCCUGCCGAAUCGCGGCUCUGCUGUUUGUGGGGCGUGCUAGAAACGUGGUCCUAAAAAGAAUGGCGUCCAUUUACAUAAUGCUUUGUUUGCGUUUCGCAAGUUUCUUUCGGUUAAAGCCACAGAAACCCCACCUCCUGCCCUUGUGUCGUUUCCACCGCGGCACCCUUUUCCGACAUUAGAAACAAUAGUGUACGCCUGUGGAGGCCUCGUUUGUUCAGGGGCUGCCGGCCAGGGCUUCAGGACGUUUCUGCGGCUUUCCCCGCGCGGCCUGGGCUCCCGCGGCUGCUUUUCGGGCCCAUGGGCGCAGCCACUGCGCCAGGCUCAAGGGGGGCGGCCCCGUCAGGGCCCGCCAUCUUGGAAGGCCUUUUUUGCCGGUUCUUCCCGCUGAGGAAGUGUCGCUCAAGACGCUGGCCUAUGAGUUGUGAUUUCUGCCUUUUCCCCUUCCUCCUUGGGCUAAGCCAGACCAGAAAGGGCCCCGUGCGCAACGUGCUUCACAAUCUCUCAGGGAAAGCGGCUAACGUGGCGCUACUCCGCCUCCCCUGUUCCUUACCCUUGGGGCGGCCGCCAUGUUUCCUGAACACAAAAUGGCGACACGUGGUUAGCAUUCGUCGCCAACGAGAAAUUGGGGUCGGCCCGAAAGCUCUAGAAUGCACCCCUCUUCCUCCCCGGGGCCUUCCACCUCCGCGAGUUUUAUGACUUAAAAAAGCCCACAGGCUGGUCUGAAGGUCGGAGGCCUAAUUUUAACGCGUUUUCCUCCCUUUAAUUUGAAACGGGAACGCGAAUGACUGUAAAAUGUGGGCACAAUAUUUAAUCUCUCGCCUUUUUAAAGCUUAAUAGUGGAUAAUAGGGGGGCAGUAUCAAGGGAUAAUUUGGGUCCCCACAGUACCAAAGCAUUUAGAAACCUCUGUUUAAUUUAAGGAAUGAGAUAAGUUACUGCUUUUCUAGACUUCCUAGCAUGGGCUGUUGUGCUGGAGAGAACGAGAGCUACGAAGAGACUACAGUGCCUCUGACUUUUUCAUAGGACAGUUGGCCGGUGAAUCUUAUUAAUAGUUUACCACAAUUAAGUGUUCAUUUUUAGUCUAGAAGGGACAGGCGUUUAUUGUGCAUUGGCCAGUGCCAGCACAUCCGAUGCAAGGCAGUUCACCGUAUUCUAUCUUUAAUUUUUACCAUGGUCCUCUGAGGUAGGUGUUCUUAUCUCUCUCUCUCUCUCUCUCUUUUAAACAGAGGAAGACAAACAUAAAGAUGAAGUGCUUAAUUCAAGGUCACACAAUGUCGGGGAUGGACCUCCAGAUUUCCUUACUGGAAAACAAGCUCAGGGCUCCCACUGAUUGUACAUUAUGGUGAGACGUGGUCUUGUAACACAGUGGUUAAGAAUGUGACUUUGGAGCCAGCCUGCUAGGGGCUGAAUUCUGACUCAGCCAUUUACUAACUGUGUGACCUUAGGGAGGAGGACCUGGUUGAUAGAAGAAUUUAUCUCGUAGUCUUAACAUCCACUGUAAUUCCAAACUUUGAGGACGAUAGAGAUCAGUGGGCUUUGACUGCCCAGCAUGCAGUCUCCAUUCUUAGGUGGGUUCCCAAGCCUGUAAAAUGUAAGCCUUAUGCUGCUGAGGGCCAUCUUGCCACCCUGAGGGAAACGCUGCCUGAGAAUGAAACAAGCAUAAGUAAAAGCUGAGCUGUGAGAUGGAGCAAGAUGAAGGCCACAUGACAUCUUUGGAGCACCUGGAUCUAACUGUGCCUUAAGCUAGUCUAACCCUGAACAUUUCAUCAUUUCAUUGACAUGAGCCCAGGUUUUCUUUUUUUUUGGAUGGAGUCUUGCUCUGUCGCCCAGGCUGGAGUGCAGUAGCUCAAUCUCGGCUCACUGCAAGCUCCACCUCCCGGGUUCACGCCAUUCUCCUGCCUUAGCCUCCCAAGUAGCUGGGACAACAGGCGCCCACCACCACUCCCAGCUAAUUUUUUGUAUUUUUAGUAGAGACGGGGUUUUACCAUGUUAGCCGGGAUGGUCUUGAUCUCCUGACCUCAUGAUCCGCCCGCCUCGGCCUCCCAAAGUGCUGGGAUUACAGGUGUGAGCCACUGCACCCAGCCCUCAGGUUUUCCCUUUUUUUACCCCUCCUUUUGAAAAUUUGAUGUGGAAUUUUGCCACCUGCAGCCAGAAGAGUUUUAACUAAUCAGUGCCAUAAAUUUUAUAUAGUUCUCCUUGCAAAAUGUGGAUCAGCCUUUCUCAGCAAAUCCUUUGUCAUAAAGUGCUGAAUUGUAAGUUUGUCAUGAGAAUCACAUGAGAUCAUGCAUGUGAAGAACCUGGCAUUAUCCUCCUCAUAGAAAAAAACCAGUAAAUAUUAACUACAGGAAGCAAGGAAGGAGUGGGGUGAGGGGAAGAAGAAGGGGUACUGAUUUAAAAGAACCCUGGAGUCCUAAGGAUAAUCUAGGAACCCUCAGACCCAAUCCGAUACCCCUAUUCUAAAUGCUCCUAGUGCCCUGUACCUUCCCCUCAUAAGCCUUCAUUAUCAUUGUAAUGAUAUGUUUAUGUAAUAUUUUGAUUAAUGUCUCUCCUUCACUGACCUAGCAGUUCUAGCAGGGCAGUGAUUUUGCUGUGUUGCAUCCCCAGCACCUAGUCUGGUAUGUGGCAUUCAGCAUAUGUUUAUUGAAUGAAUGGCCAUGUGGUUAUUCAGAUCCUCCUUGAUUAUUGGGGUUAGGAUUGUGGCAGAAGUGGCAAAAUCAGGGAGAGUAGUCCCUGUCCCCUCUGUAUCUUAUACACUGCCCACACUCCCAACACACAUACACAUACAGAGAAUUUUGUCUCAAUUAGAUAAUUAACUUCUGCUUGGUUGUAAACCAAACCACUGGUUCUUAAACUUUCAUUGGAUCAUUUUAUUGAAGAAUUAAAUAGUGUGGUUCUGGCCUAAUGUCUGGAAAGCCUUGCAGAGGAGUGGAUUAGGUCUUUGUGAUAAACAGGCAGCCUUCCCUGCUCCUGUGUCUUUAUAAAAUCUAUUUAACUGGAGUAGUCCACCCUCCCUCAGGCUCUUACAGGAAUAUGUUGGAGGCUGUAGGAAGGUGGGAAACCGAGAGGGAAAGGACUGGGCCGCUGGAGACUUCACUCAUUCCCUAGCAAGAAACAAAAGCAGUAAAAGGUGGCCCGAGGACAACCUGAAGCUCACUCCUUCAGCACUUUUGGCUGGAGGUCACUUGUUGGAGCCCCACUCAGAGCUCAGCACACCACCCCACCAGCAGCCUCCUCCUCCCAGCUGAGGCUGCAUUUCAUCCCUUCCCCCAGCCUGCUUUCCCUGAGAUAGGGGAGUGUUUCCCAGGGCCCAUGUGACUUCCACUGGCAAGUGACGAUUACCAAUGGUUUACUAGUCAGUGAAACUACCAAAGGCUUUUGUGCUGUAGUAAUCCUUUUCCUGUUUAAAACUCUGGGGAUUUUCUAAUGUUGCCAAUAGUUUUUCAAGUCAGCAAUUACUGUGUGGAUUAUGUAAUGGCUCGGUAUUAAAAAUAGAAAAGACUGGA